AGUAGGGGCGACUGAAAAGGGACCUAGCCCAGCGCAUAACCUCGCGGUUCGAGCAGAGCCGUCGAGGGGUGUUGCGUAUCGGUGGAUCCGUCCCGCCCGUGCCGUACCGCCUAAGUUACCGUUUGAGUGCAGCUCCAAGGAGGGUGGAAGACCCGUGUGGCGGCGCCUGUCAGGGCUCAUAUGGCGCGGGCGGAGGGAUCGCUUCACCGGAGAGUCGGGUUGCUUAAUACUGCAGCCCUAAGAGAGGUGGUAAACUCCAUCUAAGGCUAAAUACUCCCACGAGUCCGAUAGUUAACAAGUACCGUGAGGGAAAGUUGAAAAGAACUUUGAAGAGAGAGUUCAUAAGAAUGUGAAGCCGCUAGGAGCUUAAACGGGUGGAACUGCGAAGGACGAACGAGGGUAUUCACCUCGUCGGGGGGACGGGACCGGGGUGCUCCUUGAGUCAGGCGCCAAAAGCAAACCCAAGCGAGCGCAGGAGUACCCCACUUGUGUCCGACAGACAGGUCCCUCCCGGCGGGCGUAUUUGUCCCCUCCAGUAGUGAGACGCAGCGAGCCGUCUCUCUUAGGAGCCAGGAGGGCCGGCCGAUCGUGUCCGGACUGGUACCCUCAGUCAGGAGGGGAAACCGGCACGUGCUGCUCGAAGACUGGCUCCGGAGACGGUGUACUCCCAGGGGGCCUUCCUGUCUGCGGUCAGGGGGCCCCUCGCUGUGAAGUAGCGGUGAUCCACCCGACCCGUCUUGAAGCACGGACCAAGGAGUCUAACCUGUGCGCGAGUCUAAGGGUUCUCUGUGAGACCUGGAGGCGCAAUGAAAGUGAGCGAGCCUGUGACGCAGGCUCUAAGCUGGCCGAUCCCUGGCCCAAGUGGCGGGGCGCAGGCCGAGGACUCGCCGCCCGGCGGCCGUCUGCUCUGGCCUCCCUGGCCCUCUCUCUCUCUGCCUCCGGUGGGGAUUGUGGAGGUGUUCGGACGGGGCUGUGCUGGGCGUGCCGCUGGCGAGUACCUUGAGAGCGCACACGUUGGGACCCGAAAGAUGGUGAACUAUGCCUGGCCAGGACGAAGCCAGAGGAAACUCUGGUGGAGGUCCGAACCAGUUCUGACGUGCAAAUCGAUUGUCAGAGCUGGGUAUAGGGGCGAAAGACUAAUCGAACUAUCUAGUAGCUGGUUCCCUCCGAAGUUUCCCUCAGGAUAGCUGGCACUCGGAGUGGUAAUGAAUUUCAUCCGGUAAAGCGAAUGAUUAGAGGCCUUGGGGGCGCAAUGCCCUCAACCUAUCCUCAAACUUUAAAUGGGUGAGAAGUCAAGCUUGCUUAAUAGAUGAAGCUAUGACUGAUGAGAAUCAGAGUGCCUAGUGGGCCACUUUUGGUAAGCAGAACUGGCGCUGUGGGAUGAACCAAACGCUCGAGUUAAGGGGCCUCAAUGAAAGCUAAUGUCGACACUGACAAAAGGUGUUGGUUGCUAUAGACAGCAGGGCGGUGGCCAUGGAAGUCGGAAUCCGCUAAGGAGUGUGUAACAACUCACCUGCCGAAGCAACUAGCCCUUAAAAUGGUAUGGCGCUCAAGCUUUCUCCCGAUACUCGGCCGCCGGGGCAAUAGUGGCUUGGUGCACCACUGGGAACCCUCAAGCCCUGGCGAGUAGGAGGGUCGCAGCGGCGUGCGUCGAAGGGAUCCGGCGAAGGCCGGCCUGGAGCUGCCGCUGGCGCAGAUCUUGGUGGUAGUAGCAAAUAAUCAAGAAAGAGCCCUCGUUGGCCGAUGUGGAGAAGGGUUCCAUGUCAACAUCAGUUGAACAUGGGUAAGUCGCUCCUAAGCCCAAGGACAGAGUCCUGCGUCCCAUGGAGUCCGCAAGCAGAGCAAAAAUAAGUGAAUCUGCAGCCCAAAAAGUUAGUCUGUCUAAUCUGUACAGAGAAGAUUCAGCCCAAAUAUUACUAAAAAGUCUAACCUGUAAUGGUGGUGCCAAAGCAAACAUGACCGCAAUUAUAAUAAUAAGCGGAAAGAGAGAGUUCAUAAAACUGACUGACUGACUGCACUUAGGGCGAGUGCAGCAGCAGUGACAAAGGGGAAAGAUUAAGCCGCCUGCACUAAAUGGCUUUGUGGCGAGGAGUGCAUCAGAGGCGGCAAAUGGGGAAAAUAAUUUAGGCCAAAACAAAAUNUGCAUUUCACAAAUAUUGGCUNUUCCUAUCACUUGUGAAGCAGAAGUUACAUUACAAAAGUGCCUAAUAAUAGACAUAUAUCAAAGAUUAAGCCAAAGAGAGGAAAAAAAAACUGCACCAAAUAGUAACAAAGCAGCACCACCACAUGAGCUGGGCUCAGUGAAUCUAUUAUUAUUGGGAACAGCAGAGAAAGACAGACUAAGGGCAGGCAAUGAAACACGGACCAAUACUAAUUGAGCGGAGGGACGCAGUGGCGAAAGGGAACACGGUAAUGAUUCCGUGACCUGUGUUCGGACUGGCCCGGCCGGCAGGGCCGGGUCGUAAUGUGUGACGAGACCCGGUAACGGGAUCUGGCUUGUGUCCACUGGUGUUCGGUCCGGGGGAGAGUUUUCUUUUCUGUUUUAGGCCCCGUGAUCCCUGGAAAUGGCCCAAAAAGCGAAGGGGAUGAUGGACGGAAAUCCACACGGUGGCCGUAGAGCGCCGCAGUUCAUGCGGUGUCCCGUGCGCCGACACCAGUCCUUGAAAGAUGCAAGUGAGGUAGUCACACGGGCGAAGAGGCCCGGGGCGAGGUCGGGAGUGGCCCCUGUGGCUGCUGCUGCCUGCCUUGGGUUUCGAGCCCAUGUUUCGACACAGCANGUACCCAUCUCCGCAUCAGUCUCCAGACUCNUUNAUA
This 2814-nucleotide ribosomal RNA is filed under the name Typhlatya pearsei. RNAcentral describes it as "eukaryotic LSU rRNA". It matches the Rfam family "Eukaryotic large subunit ribosomal RNA", at positions 82 to 1878 of the family's 3401-position model. The record is from RNAcentral. Lineage: Eukaryota; Metazoa; Arthropoda; Malacostraca; Decapoda; Atyidae.